AGCGUGGCGGCUGUUCAGAGAGCGUUCAGCCUGGAUAACCCUUUCGGUUUUCUUAACUACGUAGCUGAGUCCCUUUGUAGAGAAAUGCUGGAUCCAAGAACGGCAGCUCCUGUCUUUGGUUGAAAGCAUAGAGGCUCUGGUUGGGAGUGUUUGCGGAGGAGCUGGCUUUAAAAGAUACUUCAUUCUGCCUGAAAAAACUCAAGGUGCUUGCACACCUGCCUGGGAACCGAUGACCUGGAGAAAAGGAAUCAC
Molecule: long non-coding RNA, 252 nt
Organism: Tupaia belangeri chinensis (Chinese tree shrew)
Lineage: Eukaryota; Metazoa; Chordata; Mammalia; Scandentia; Tupaiidae
Exons: 3
Source: RefSeq, a predicted model, not a curated record